AUUGAACGCUGGCGGAAUGCUUUACACAUGCAAGUCGAACGGCAGCACGGACUUCGGUCUGGUGGCGUGUGGCGAACGGGUGAGUAAUGUAUCGGAACGUGCCCAGUCGUGGGGGAUAACGUAGUGAAAAUUACGCUAAUACCGCAUACGAUCUGUGGAUGAAAGCGGGGGAUCGCAAGACCUCGCGCGAUUGGAGCGGCCGAUAUCAGGUUAGGUAGUUGGUGGGGUAAAGGCCCACCAAGCCAACGAUCUGUAGCUGGUCUGAGAGGACGACCAGCCACACUGGAACUGAGACACGGUCCAGACUCCUACGGGAGGCAGCAGUGGGGAAUUUUGGACAAUGGGCGAAAGCCUGAUCCAGCCAUUCCGCGUGCAGGAUGAAGGCCCUCGGGUUGUAAACUGCUUUUGUACAGAACGAAAAGGUUUCUACUAAUACUAGGAGCUCAUGACGGUACUGUAAGAAUAAGCACCGGCUAACUACGUGCCAGCCGCCGCAGUAA
This 500-nucleotide ribosomal RNA is filed under the name uncultured bacterium. RNAcentral's name for it is "partial 16S ribosomal RNA". It matches the Rfam family "Bacterial small subunit ribosomal RNA", at positions 30 to 523 of the family's 1533-position model. The record is from RNAcentral.